Long non-coding RNA from Suricata suricatta (meerkat), 3556 nucleotides. RefSeq lists it as uncharacterized. The record is from RefSeq and is a predicted model, not a curated record. NCBI's taxonomy places the organism in Eukaryota, Metazoa, Chordata, Mammalia, Carnivora, Herpestidae. The transcript has 3 exons.
CUCCGGCCCCGCCCCCGCCCUACGGCCGAGCUCCGCCCACGAGCGGCCAGCGGCAGACGGGCGCCGGCGGAGGUGGGGCCCUUGGAGUUUGCUUUGCUGAAAAGAACUGUGAAGCCCUUCAGAGGAGGAAUUAUGUUUUCCAACUGUCUCGAAGACUCUUAGGAAAGUCUAUAGGUUUUCUAUUGAUUCUCCCUUUAGAGACUGGACACAGAGUUGAUUGUAAUUGUAAUUGUAGCCAGGUGUGGGGGUGCCAGAGCAGGGUUCCCAAACAGACCAAGUUCAGCUGCUCACCACGGGAUGAAUGGAGGUGAAACCAGAAAGGAAUUUAGGUCAGUGAGGCUGCAGACAGCAGACUAACGUCGGUCUCAAAGACGGUCUCCAAAGUGCCGAAAAUACUUUCACGUUUACAGAAGGAAAAUGUGGGUCAGUGAGUACGUGCAGGGAGGCAGUGAAGGUCAAGUCCACCUUGUCUUGGGGUCACAUGCAGUCUGUGGCUCAGGGCAGUUCUUUUGGUUUGGGUAGUUUCCAGUUAUUGCAGGCGGCUUUGCCCGUAGGGUCUUUGGCCUGAGUUAAGAGAUAAGAAUCAGAAAGUUCCACAAUCUCCUCCUUUGGUUUCAUUUGCUAGAGCGGCUCACAGAACUCAAAGAAGCAUUUUCCUUACAGCCCACUGGUUUUCUACUAAAGGAUGUAACUCAUGAAUGGCCAGAUGGAAGAGGUGCAUAAGGUGAACUGUGGGGAAAGGGUUCAGAGUUUCCAUGCCCUCUCCAGGCGCACUACUUUCUUCAAACCUCCACAUCUCCAGCAACCCAGAGGCUCUCCAACCCUGCCCUUUUGGAAGCUUCAUUACACAGCUUCCGUGGAUCUGGAGUCCCUCUGAUCUCUUCUGCCUUUGCCCUGCCGAUGACAGAUCACCUUGUGCCACGUGCAGCAGGACUGGUCCAAUCACUCAACUCUUAAAAGGAAGGUCCAUGGGAAUGUCUCUUCUCAUUCUCAUACUCUACUGAGCUAUAAGGCCACAAAAAUUUGGUUGUGUAAUUUUGGUAUUAACAGAGAUAAGUCGUGUUUACACUAAAAACAGUAUCACUAUUUGCCAUCAGUACAUCCAAGCUGUUUUCAGAGACUGGCCUGUUCCUAUGUUUUUAUCUAAAUGUGACUGUGGGUCAGGGAGAGCUAAACUGGGGAGAAUGAAACCGUUUUUGUGGGGUUUUCCACCUACUACAGGGCACAAUUCCAACCACUCUAGGAGCCAUGGCACCGUUUCGAUUUUCCAAACAAUCUUGACAGUCCCCAGCAGGUGUCUCUUGUGCGCUAACAAAGGCAAUCAUCUCAAAGUUCGCACGGGUCAGCCAUGUUGCUUCUGCUUCUGGCUUUGGGCAAAGUCCACAUCCGGGGCUCUCAUUUUAUCCCCUGAGCCCUUAGGCCUAAUGAGAUUCACUUGAAACCAUGUAAAGUCAACCCCUCACUGGAGUUGAAGGCACAUCUUUGGGUUACAGCCAUUUGCUCCUAGAGAUUGCACAGUUGAGUUGGAAUGCUAUAACUUAGGCAAUAAAGAUAUUACAUGGAUCAGAGAAAAGUAUGGAUGCUGGGACACACGUGAGGUUGUUAAUUUGGUUUAUCUUGGGUAUGAAGGAAAAGAAGAGAGGCAAACCCCAGGAAAAAAAUGAAAGUAGAAGGAAACAGUACCAAAAACAAAACAAGCAAACCAACCAACCAAACAAACAAACAAAAAAAAACAAACAAAAAGUUCCUCAUUCAAACCCCAAAAUGUAUAUAAUGUCUUUUAUAUGAAAUUAUAUUUAUUUACAUGCACAUGCAUUGAAAAAUUGGGAAAUGGUUAGAUGGAUUGGUCUCAGCUGAUUUUUAGCAAUACUCAUGCUUUUUGUAACAAAAUCUUUUGACAAAAACAAAGACAAAAUCCACGAUUAUGUGUAGAUACAUUGUAGGUGUAGAUGAAAGCAAGGAGAAAGGAAUGGAAUGAUACAAAUGUGUACUAGUAUGCGAUCGCUGCUGUAACAAAGUACCACACAUGGUCCUAACAACAGAAAUUCAUGUUUUCACAAUCUGAAAGCUGAAAGUCUAAGACCAAGGUGUUGGCAGGAUUCAUUUUUUUCUGAGAUCUCCUUCUUUGCCUGGCAGAUGGUUGUGUUUUCCCCAGACCUUCACAUGGUCUUCCCUUUGUGUGUUUAUCCUAAUCUCUUCGUAUAAAGACCCCAAUUGUAUUGGUUUAGGGCCCACCCAUAUGACCUCAUUUUGCCUCAAUUACCUUUUUAAAGAUCCCAUUUCCAAAUAUAGUCACAUUCUGAGAUAUUGAAACUUAGGACCUCAGCCUGUCAAUUUGGGGGAGACACAUUUUAACCCAUAGCAUCAUCCCACUGUUAAUAUUGGAUAUAUCAGAGGACAGGACGAGAAGGAAUAUAGAAGAAGCUGAUUAUCUCUGUCUUAUGUAUCUUUUUACUAUUCUCGUGUUUCAACAAGCAUCUACUCCUUUCCUAGUUUGACAAAUACUAAACUGGUGUAAUCCAUAAAGGAGUUUACCGGCUUGCAAGACAGAAAAGUUCAGCAAUUGUGCUUCAGGCAGUUUGACCCAGGGGUUUCUGGUAUCAUCAGGGCAAUUCUCUGAACUCUGCCGUUUUCUAUAUGUUGCUUUGCCCUCCACAUGCCACCUUGUAUUGUUCAUUCUUUAUCUUAUGGAAGCAAUGUUUGCUACAAGAGUUCUGGAACAUACAGCUUCAACCUGGAUAUCCACAGGAAAUUGAUUCCUUUUCUUUUAGCUCCUUUGGAAAAGAGAGGCACUUCUUGCCCAGAAGCGUCAACAAAUAUUUCUUCCUGCCCUGCUAGUUUGAACUAAGUCACAUGUUCUACUGAAAACCAGUGUUGGUGAUCAAAGAUUCACAUGCUGAUUGCUUACGUCUAUUUAGACACGGCUCCUAGAGCUGUAGGUAGUAUCAAUCCUGUCCAGUACUGGUGAAAUUGGAGGGUGGGUAGGACUCCAGUGGAAAAUCUGUGUUCUUUUGGUGUGUGUGGAAGGUGCACGAAAACAACCAACCAAAGCCUGCUAUGACUCACCAGGGUCUCCACCGAGGUCUCUCAAGUUCUGUUCCCAUCUCAACUUUCAGGUCCAGAAACCCUUCAACCCAGCCCCCAUGUUUCUCACCUCUGAGUUUAUUCACUUCACGGUUAACAAAAAUCUCCCCUUAGAAUGUAGGUUUCUGCAGGGCAUGCGUUUCCACAGCACUGAGCAUAGUGAUUGGCAUUUUAAAGGCGUUUGUGGAAUAGAUGAACACACAGGUGCUGAGUGUGAGCUGUGUGCUAGACGAUUCUAAACACAGAGGAUCUGGUGAUGAAAACCCUGUGUCCCUGUUUUCCUGGAGUUUACAUUCCAGUGGAGGGAGCAAUACACAAAUAAAUAUGUCAUCAGGCUAGUCGUAUGUGCUAUGAAGAGAAGUGUGGGUCGGAAUAGACUGUGACGGGGAGACAGAAGGGCGCCAUUUUAUUUUAUUUCCUGGUUUUAUUUCACUAUGAUUGACAAAUAAAAACUGUCUCUAUUUAGAUCAUA